RNAcentral lists this ribosomal RNA (253 nucleotides) under uncultured bacterium. RNAcentral describes it as "partial 16S ribosomal RNA". It matches the Rfam family "Bacterial small subunit ribosomal RNA", at positions 524 to 776 of the family's 1533-position model. The record is from RNAcentral.
UACGUAGGGGGCUAGCGUUAUCCGGAAUCAUUGGGCGUAAAGAGCGUGUAGGCGGCCCGGUAAGUCCGCUGUGAAAGUCGGGGGCUCAACCCUCGAAUGCCGGUGGAUACUGUCGGGCUAGAGUGCGGAAGAGGCGAGUGGAAUUCCUGGUGUAGCGGUGAAAUGCGCAGAUAUCAGGAGGAACACCAAUUGCGAAGGCAGCUCGCUGGGACGUAACUGACGCUGAGACGCGAAAGCGUGGGGAGCAAACAGG